UUGGAGGGCAAGUCUGGUGCCAGCAGCCGCGGUAAUUCCAGCUCCAAUAGCGUAUAUUAAAGCUGUUGCAGUUAAAAAGCUCGUAGUUGAAUUUCGGGAUCAGAGUGUCGGUCGUGCCUCGGUACGCACUGGUAUUAUUGGUUCCUACCUUCUGAAGAACCGCGAUGUCAUUAAUUUGGCGUCGUGGGGAAUCAGGACUGUUACUUUGAAAAAAUUAGAGUGUUUAAAGCAGGCUUACGCUUGAAUACAUUGGCAUGGAAUAAUGAAAUAGGACGUAUGAUUCUAUUUUGUUGGUUUCUAGGAUUGACGUAAUGAUUAAUAGGGAUAGUUGGGGGCAUUAGUAUUCAAUUGUCAGAGGUGAAAUUCUUGGAUUUAUUGAAGACUAACUACUGCGAAAGCAUUUGCCAAGGAUGUUUUCAUUAAUCAAGAACGAAAGUUAGGGGAUCGAAGACGAUCAGAUACCGUCGUAGUUUUAACCAUAAACUAUGCCGACUAGGGAUCGGAUGAUGUUAAUUUUUUAAUGACUCAUUCGGCGCCUUACGGGAAAC
This 548-nucleotide ribosomal RNA is filed under the name uncultured Glomeromycotina. Its description in RNAcentral is "SSU rRNA". It matches the Rfam family "Eukaryotic small subunit ribosomal RNA", at positions 548 to 1098 of the family's 1831-position model. Lineage: Eukaryota; Fungi; Glomeromycota. The record is from RNAcentral.